UAGGGAAUCUUCCGCAAUGGACGAAAGUCUGACGGAGCAACGCCGCGUGAGUGAAGAAGGAUUUCGGUUCGUAAAACUCUGUUGUUAGGGAAGAAAAAAUGUAUAGUAACUAUAUACAAAAGAGACGGUACCUAACCAGAAAGCCACGGCUAACUACGUGCCAGCAGCCGCGGUAAUACGUAGGUGGCAAGCGUUGUCCGGAAUUAUUGGGCGUAAAGCGCGCGCAGGUGGUUUAGAAAGUCUGAUGUGAAAGCCCACGGCUCAACCGUGGAGGGUAAGUGGAAACUAAUAAACUUGAGUGCAGGAGAGAAAAGUGGAAUUACUAGUGUAGCGAUGAAAUGCGUAGAGAUUAGGAGGAACACCGGUGGCGAAAGCGGCUUUUUGGCCUGCAACUGACACUGAGGAGCGAAAGCGUGGGGAGCAAACAGG
This 429-nucleotide ribosomal RNA is filed under the name Verrucomicrobiota bacterium. RNAcentral describes it as "Verrucomicrobia bacterium partial 16S ribosomal RNA". It matches the Rfam family "Bacterial small subunit ribosomal RNA", at positions 355 to 776 of the family's 1533-position model. Lineage: Bacteria; Pseudomonadati; Verrucomicrobiota. The record is from RNAcentral.